RNAcentral lists this ribosomal RNA (432 nucleotides) under uncultured bacterium. RNAcentral describes it as "partial 16S ribosomal RNA". It matches the Rfam family "Bacterial small subunit ribosomal RNA", at positions 29 to 506 of the family's 1533-position model. The record is from RNAcentral.
AACGAACGCUGGCGGCAUGCCUAACACAUGCAAGUCGAACGAGACCUUCGGGUCUAGUGGCGCACGGGUGCGUAACGCGUGGGAACCUGCCCUUAGGUUCGGAAUAACUCCCCGAAAGGGGUGCUAAUACCGGAUAAUGUCUUCGGACCAAGGAUUUAUCGCCUUUGGAUGGGCCCGCGUUGGAUUAGCUAGUUGGUAGGGUAAAAGCCUACCAAGGCGACGAUCCAUAGCUGGUCUGAGAGGAUGAUCAGCCACACUGGGACUGAGACACGGCCCAGACUCCUACGGGAGGCAGCAGUGGGGAAUAUUGGACAAUGGGCGAAAGCCUGAUCCAGCAAUGCCGCGUGAGUGAUGAAGGCCUUAGGGUUGUAAAGCUCUUUUACCCGGGAUGAUAAUGACAGUACCGGGAGAAUAAGCUCCGGCGAACUCCGU